GCAGCAGUGGGGAAUAUUGCACAAUGGGCGCAAGCCUGAUGCAGCGACGCCGCGUGGGGGAUGACGGCCUUCGGGUUGUAAACUCCUUUCGCUAGGGACGAAGCUUUUUGUGACGGUACCUAGAUAAGAAGCACCGGCUAACUACGUGCCAGCGGCCGCGGUAAUACGUAGGGUGCGAGCGUUGUCCGGAAUUACUGGGCGUAAAGGGCUCGUAGGUGGUUUGUCGCGUCGUCUGUGAAAUUCCGGGGCUUAACUCCGGGCGUGCAGGCGAUACGGGCAUAACUUGAGUACUGUAGGGGUAACUGGAAUUCCUGGUGUAGCGGUGAAAUGCGCAGAUAUCAGGAGGAACACCGAUGGCGAAGGCAGGUUACUGGGCAGUUACUGACGCUGAGGAGCGAAAGCAUGGGUAGCGAACAGGAUUAGAUACCCUGGUAGUCCAUGCCGUAAACGGUGGGCGCUAGGUG
Molecule: ribosomal RNA, 464 nt
Filed under: uncultured bacterium
Lineage: Bacteria
Description: bacterial SSU rRNA
Rfam family: Bacterial small subunit ribosomal RNA
Source: RNAcentral